GGGCUCAUAGAUCAGCUGGUAGAGCGUGCGCUUACAAAGCGUAGGUGGCGUCCAUGCGUGGGUUCGAGUCCCACCGAGGCUG
This 82-nucleotide transfer RNA is filed under the name Echinostoma caproni. It matches the Rfam family "tRNA". From Rfam's summary of the family: Transfer RNA (tRNA) molecules are approximately 80 nucleotides in length. Their secondary structure includes four short double-helical elements and three loops (D, anti-codon, and T loops). The record is from Rfam by way of RNAcentral. Lineage: Eukaryota; Metazoa; Platyhelminthes; Trematoda; Plagiorchiida; Echinostomatidae.